GGGUUGUAAGCAUAGUCACGCGAUGCAGCCGGCUCUUAUCCGGCAGAACCAGGUGCGAUUCCUGGACGACCCACCA
This 76-nucleotide transfer RNA is filed under the name Planctomycetota bacterium. RNAcentral's name for it is "tRNA-Lys". Lineage: Bacteria; Pseudomonadati; Planctomycetota. The record is from RNAcentral.